CCCAGGGGCCGAAGGAGAUGAGGCAGAUGCGGCCGGCUCGUAUUUCAAUCACAGCGGCUUGCCUUUUUAGAAAGUAUAUUUUCUUUAAUCCAGUAUAACCCAGAUAUUAUCACUUCAACAGUGCCCUACUUUUCAAUACCGAAAAAAAAGAUCAUUGCCUCUUCGCUCUGCUGUUCUCACCGCAAGUCGGCUCCCACAUGGACACAGAAAUACAGGCAGACACAAGAAGUGUGCUUCUUAAAUAUAUGGUGAAAGCCAAAAUGAAUAAACAGGCAAUUUUUAGUUUUG
Aethalodelphis obliquidens (Pacific white-sided dolphin) is the source of this 288-nucleotide long non-coding RNA. RefSeq lists it as uncharacterized. The transcript is spliced from 2 exons. The record is from RefSeq and is a predicted model, not a curated record. NCBI's taxonomy places the organism in Eukaryota, Metazoa, Chordata, Mammalia, Artiodactyla, Delphinidae.